RNAcentral lists this ribosomal RNA (124 nucleotides) under Habropoda laboriosa. The record is from RNAcentral. Lineage: Eukaryota; Metazoa; Arthropoda; Insecta; Hymenoptera; Apidae.
ACUAAUGGUUUUCUCACGCAGCAAGCGUCGCGUCGGUUCUCGCUUAAUCACUGAAGUUAAGUUGCGUUGAGCACAGUUAAUACUCAGAAGGCUGGCCAUCUGCGAACUUUGUGUGCUGUUGUUA